RNAcentral lists this ribosomal RNA (332 nucleotides) under uncultured bacterium. RNAcentral describes it as "bacterial SSU rRNA". It matches the Rfam family "Bacterial small subunit ribosomal RNA", at positions 32 to 356 of the family's 1533-position model. The record is from RNAcentral.
AAUCAACGCUGGCGGCGUGCCUCAGACAUGCAAGUCGAACGAUUAAAGCUCUCUUCGGAGAGUGCAUAGAGUGGCGCACGGGUGAGUAACACGUAAGUAAUCUACCCUCGAGUGGGAAGUAACGUCCGGAACGGACGCUAAUACCGCAUAAUGCAGCGGCACCGCAAGGUGACAGUUGUUAAAGAUUUAUUCGCUUGAGGAGGAGCUUGCGGCAGAUUAGCUAGUUGGUAAGGUAAUGGCUUACCAAGGCUACGAUCUGUAACCGGUCUUAGAGGACGGUCGGUCACACUGACACUGAAUAACGGGUCAGACUCCUACGGGAGGCAGCAGUC